CGAAGGGAAGAAGUAUUUCAUGGAGAAACACCAGCUGUAGCAAAGAAAAGGAAGUUUGGAUCUGCCUGCUCUCCUUCCUCCCUCCCUCCCGCUCCUUUUCUCCCUCUCUCCCUCCCUGCUUCCUUCCUCCUUACUUCCCUCCCUCCCUCUUUUCUUCCCUCCCUUCCUUCUGUUUUUUCCCCCCUCCCUCCCUUCCUUCUGUCUUUCAGUUUCCCGUUAGUCUGAGAUCCUGCAGGAUAGAUAUUUCUGGUGCUCUUCACAGAAUGAAGGGCCUUGGGUUUCCUCCUGAUACCCCACGAUGCAUGCAAAGACAUAGCAGAUAAAGAGAUAAUCAUAAUCUAACCGCAAAAUGCAUCCCUUGCACUCUGUUAUUAUAUUAACAGCGCUGCUGGUACUUUCCUUCUAACUUUUACCCGUGGAGAAUUGAAAAGACACUUGGAGUGAAGGUUCAGAAUCUUCAAAACGUGUACACCAUCAGCAUAAAUGUCUCAUUCUGGAUAAAUCCGCUUCAAUUAUAUAUUUAACUCAGCUGAGAGCUCCCCAAAGAAGGGUUAUUCUGUAUUCACCAGCAAAGUAUUUUUGAUACCCUCAUGGGGACAAUGAUUUGCCAAAAAUUCAUGCAACUUUUUUUAUAUUAAUGCAGGAAAACUUGAAGAUUAUUAAGUCCAUGCUUCUGACAGCCCCUGCAGUUACAAAUAAAAUAGCUAAUGAGAAGAAAAACUGCCCCUACCGGCUUAUUCCCAAAGCCCCAGCCAUCUUUACGCAAGAAUGCUGUGACAAAUGGUACUUUUCACAUUUCUAACAUGCCCCUUCUCCGAUUAUAGAUGUAGAUGGAUAACAUGACCACAAGAGUUAGGCCCCGAAGCAGAUGAUUGCCUCUGGCACCCGCCGUAUGCAAUUCGAGGUGAAAUUUCCAAGAGCCAAAUGAAAUAAUUGCAACAGGCCUUCAUGGGGCUUUGAAUUCAGCCUCAAACAUUGUGAUAAUCCGAUCCUGACACUUGCCCUCCCCUCAUUCACUCUUUUAACAAUCCCAAGAGAGUGCAGGACUGAGAUCCGAAAAUGUUAUUAUGGAGGGGAAAUAAAGGUUAUUUUGAAUGCUUCAAGGUCACGUGACUUGUAAGAAGAAGUCAGUUGCUAUGUACAAAGUCCUACUACUCUAAGACUGCCAUACCAUGAGAAGCCCAACCUAGCCAUGUGGAGAGGUCAUGUGAAGGAGAACUGAGUCUUCCAGCCAGCAACCCCAGCUGAGCUUCCAGCCAACAAACAGCACUAACUUGCAUGGGAGAAGCUGUCCAGGAAGUGAAUCCUUGAGCUCCAAUUGAGCUGCCUCAAGCUGGUGUCACGUGGAGCAGAGAUGAGCUGUCCCUGACAUACCUUGCACAAAUUUCAGAAACAU
This 1396-nucleotide long non-coding RNA is filed under the name Homo sapiens (human). Its description in RNAcentral is "HSALNT0318519". The record is from RNAcentral. Lineage: Eukaryota; Metazoa; Chordata; Mammalia; Primates; Hominidae.